AGAAAUAAAUUUUCCCGGUGCCCGUCCCGCCUCACAGUCCCUCCAGUCCUAACGUGGAAAAAUAAUUAAAAUACAAUUAAUUUAACCCAUUAUUUUUCUCUCCAUCUCCUUCUCCUUUCUCACUUUUUUUUUUUUUUUUUUUUUGUGUCAAAAUCAUUUUCCAAUUUAUUUAUUUAUUUUUUCCACUUUUUGUUUAUCAAUAUGCUUAUAUUUCAUUAUGGAAAGGAAGAAUGCUUGCUCCAAAUUUCUGUUAAUUUGUGGGAUGGGAAUCAGUAAGAGUAGAGAGGGAAAAAAGACCCACGAAAAUUUGUGUACAGAAAAAAUUAAGUAAUUUUUUUUUUAGAUAUAUUGUUGAGUGGCUAUUGAGCGAGUAGAUAAGGUGGGAAAACAGAGUUUUUAGGCCUAUCAAACCCGAAACAAUGGCUCUACUUUCAUCUACCAUAACAGCAUUGUCUUUCAUUCCUGCUAGACUUGUAACACAAAAUCAUCAUAAUCUGUAGCCCCUUUUCCACAAUCCUAUUUUGCCUCGCAACGCCUCCAAAAUUCGUAUCUCUUUUAGGGUUCAAGCUGCAAAACCUCCUGUCGGAGUAUGCUGCUUCGGAGUGGAAGUGCCAAAAGUAGAGCCAAAUUUCAAUCCCCCGUUUCUUGGAUUCACCAAGACUACUGAAAUUUGAAAUUCUAGAGCUAGUAUAAUCGGGCCUAUUGGAAUCUUCAUUGUAGAAUUGGCAUAGAGAACUGGCCUGGGUGUAAGCUUCAUAGCCAUAACUAUGGGUUCCUGAACCAUUUCGAGGCCAGCAUCCCAUUGGCAAAGCAAAAAUGUUAAAGGAGGGACUAUUGGCAAAGGAAAUGCAGCUAUGGUUGCAACUAUGGAGAGGUUAAAGGUGGAACUAGAUUAUGCCAUAGGGAGGCCCACAAAGACAAGAUUUCAAGUAAAUUAACAAGUGAGUGUGGUUAUCUAGUUGGGAAGCAUGCUCCUCUGCAAGUUGAGACAUGGAUGCAGAUUGAUGAGAAUGAAAGAAAAAGAAUCAGAAACCUUCUACAGAUUGGAAUUACCCAUUUUUAUUUCAUUCAUAGAUUGAUUGACAUGUUUGGUUCAACGUCUACACUUCUUGGAAAUCUUGUUGACAAUGGAUUGAAGAAUAAUAUAUGUGGAGAGCCUAAAUGUGCGUACAAAGAUUUGAAAACACUUCAAUUUGAAUUUAUUUUGUUACUGUUGUAUAAAGCUUUGGGAAUAUCUAAUACGUAAUGUCAAACAUUGCAAAUGAAAUCCCAAGACAUUUUAAAUGCAAUGAAUUUAGUAUCAACUUUAAAAGUGCCUCCUUCAAAAGAUGCGAGAAGAUGAACAUGAUGAUUUUCUUCAGAAUGUGGCAUCUUUUUUUAUGAAAACGUAUGAUAUUGUGGUGUCUGAUUUAAAAGGAUGUUCUUGUCGAUAAAAAAUAAUAUUAUAGUGGAGAAUUACUAUCAUUUUAUUAUAUUUAAUUCUAUAAUAGAGUUUUAGUUGAUGGAGUCGAAUAGCAUAUUUAUAGAGAAAACAAUAAAAUUGUUUACUUUGGUGAGGCUUUAAAUCCGAUUGAUAAGCUCAAAUCAUUCUCUAUAAAUGCUAUAUGUGUACACUAUCAUUUUCAUCAAGGUUGGUAUGGUUACUUCUUUUAUUUUCAAAAGAAAAAUAAGGUAUUUUGCCAUAUCGAAACUUCAAUUCAUUCAUUAUUAUGUUAAGUUUACAGAAAUGGUAUGAAUGCACACCAUAGCUAAAUCUAAAUUUUGACAAGUGUUUCUGCCUUAUUGAGUCCUUCAAAUUAAAUUAGUCUUCAUGUAUGAUGCCACAUGUCUUGACAUGUAUUGGAGGAGGGGUUGGCCGAAUGGCAAGACUCCAUGACACCAAGUACCUACCCAUGUCGUCAUCUAUGUCGCCGAGGUGUUUCCAUAUCAUUGAGGAGCUUGAUUUUUUUAAAGUCUAAUUUAGCUAAUAUACUUUAAUUACGUCAUUUUGGUGUCUUUAAGCACCAAAUUGACUAGCCUAAAUUGUACACAAAAAUUGGCUAGAACAAAACAUAAAUCAAAAUACAAAGGCAAGCUUAAAUUGCAAACCUCUUGGCAUAAGUAAAUAUAUUUCGUGUUUGCUCACCAUCAUGGCUAACAAUGCCAUGAUUUUCUAACACUCAUUUUUGGUAAUGUUAGGCACGAUGUAUAAUAGACUUCUAAGCUUUUGAAGUGUAAUGGCUUUGUAAGGAUAUCUACAAGUUGAUUUUAUGUGGGGCAAUGGACCAAGUUUGUCUUCUAAUUUCUCUCAGCCUCCGGAUGUUUUGAUAUUUUAUAGGAGUGUACUUUGUUCUCCUAUGUUGCAUUGGAUUUUAGGCAAUGGCUAAAGCUGAAGUGUUGUCACAAUAGAUGAUGAUUGCAUUUUUUUUUCUUGCAACCUAAAUCAUUAAGCAAUUUCCUUAGCCAAAUUUCUUGGUUUGAUGCUGCUGCAAUUGAAAUAUACUUGGCUUUGAUAGUUGAUUGUGCUGUGGUUCCUUGCUUGUGUGAGUUUUAAGAAAAUGGACCUAUCAAACAUGAACAAGUAACAAGUGUAUUUUUCAUGUCUUUCAAGCUGCCUGUCCAAUCACUAUCACAAUAGACAACUAGUUCAUAAAUUUUACCAUGCUUGUAUAAGAUUUCAUAGUUAGUUGCACCUUUAACAUUCCUUGGGAUAUUUUUUAUAGCUUGAUAAUGGCUCUAAGAUGGAGCACUCAUGAACCUUGACAAUACAUUUGUAGCAUACAUGAUAUUAGGUCUUGAUGCAUGUAUAUAAAGUAAGCUUCCUAUCAAACUUCGAUUAAUCGAGCCAUUUAUCAUCAACUUCAAACUUUGCAUUUUGCAUCAUAAUGAGUUUCAAUAGAUUUGGCAUUUUCUAGCUGAAAUUUGUUAAGCAAAUCUAAAGUAUAUUUUUCUUGGAAUAGAAAUAUACCUUUACUCGUUUGCUUGAUCUCCAUGCCUAGGAAAGAAGUUCAUUAAACCAAGAUCAAACAUCUCAAAGCUUGCUUCGUCUUGCUCUUGAAUUGUUGGAUAACUUCGGAUUACAACCUGUUAUGAGUAAAUCAUCAACAUAAAGAGAGAUUACCAUUUUGUUUUUAUGUGAGUUAGCUUUGAUGUAGAGGGUUCUCUCAUUUUCACUACUUGAAAAAUUUCAUGAAGCAAAAAGUCAUCAAUCCUUGCAUACCAAGCACUUGGAGCUUGUUCAAGCCCAUAUAAUGCUUUAUGAAGCUUGUAUAGUUUCUCCUCCUCUCUUUCUUUUACAAAACUUUCAAUUUGCUCAACAUGGAUCUCCUAUUCCAAUAUACCAUUUAGAAAGUUUGAAAGGCUGACUUUACAUUCAAAUGGUAUACUUUCCAAGAAUUGUUGGUUGCAUAGGCUAGAAGUAGUCUUAUGGUUUCAUGUUUUGCCAUCGGUGCAAAGGUCUCAGUGUAAUCCACUCCAUAUUGUUGGAUAUAUCCUUUUACCACCAGUCUUGCCUUGUAAUUGUUCAAGGUGCGAUGAGGGUUUAGUUUAGCUCUAAAAACUCAUUUAACACCUAUGACAUGCCCAUCUCUCGGUCAUGGUACCAAACUCCAUGUCUUCUUCUUUCAAUCAUAUAAAGCUCGUUCUUCAUUGCAGCUUGCCAUUCUUUAUGUUGUGCAUCUUCAUUAUAAGUUGCUGGAUCAUGAGUUGCCAUGCUUUCUCUCUCAUAGAGCUCUACAAUUGAUUUGGUUCCUCUUUUGCUAACAUAAUUUUUAUUGGCUGGAUCAUCAUCUUCCUCUUCUUUGAUAGCAUCCAGAUCACUUUGGUUCGUGAAAGGGAUUCUUGAUUGAAUAUAAAUGCUUAUUAGCACUUGUGUUCUAUUGUGAAUCUUCAUCCAUUACAACAUCUCUCAAGGCAACAACCUAUAUCUUUCACACAUCAUAUAUUCUACAGCCUUUUGAAACUGAGCUAUAGCCAACAAGAAUGCCAAUGUUUGCUUUCUUGUCUAUCUUGGAUCUCUUAGUGUCAUGAACAUGUAAGUAACAAAUACUUCUAAAAACUUUUAAAUGAGCUAUUAAGGGUUUAAAACCAUACCACAGUUCAUUUAGAGUUUUGGAAUUAAUUGCUUUACUUAAAAGUCUAUUAAGGAGGUACACACUCAUGUUGGUAGCUUUGAUCCAAAAAUUUUUCAGUAGGCUUUUCUAAAACAACAAACAUCUUGACAUUUCCAUGAUGUUUAUAUUCUUUCUUUUACUACCUCCAUUUUGUUGUGGUGUAUAGAGUUAUAAGCUGAUGUAUGAUGCCAUUUUGUUUGUAAAUAUCUUGAAAAGCACUUAAAAUGUACUCACCUACAUUGUCGAUUUAACUACCUUGAUAGUUGUUUGAGCUUGAUUCUCUACAAGCAUUUUGAAUUCUUGAAACGUGGCCGUCACCUUUGAUUUUUUUUUAAUCAAUAAAAAUGACAAAUGCCUCCUUUCGACAUAAGUUGUCUCAUUUAUAGGGCUACACAAAUCUGAGUGCACUAGCUGUAUUUUCUUCUUUGCCUUUUUGAAAGUUGUUAAAGGAAAUGACUGCCUCUUGAGCUUGCUAAGUUGACAUGUUUGGCAUACAACUUAAACAUCUUGGACUUGUGGCAGAUUGUCAACAAUCUGUUGAGUUUUGUAUUUGCUAUGUGGUGGUAUAGUUGUAGUGACCAUGGCUUCUAUGCCAUAGCUUCGAUUCUUCUUGGACUUUAAUGCUCAAGGCUGAUUGAUUUUGUUUAUUAAAAUUAAUCACAAGACUUCUAUACUUCAUAUGGACAAGUAACACAACUUUUCCAUUCUUAGACAUUUCACAACUUGUAUUUAAGAAUUUCAAAGUGUAAUAAUUCUUCAUGAGUUGUGGCAUACUUAAUAGGUUCUCGAACAAGUUUUGAACAGAUAACAAGUUUGUGAUUAAUGUUGUACCUUUCGGUGUUUUGAUCACCAAAUCUCCUUUCUCUUGUGUUUUCAUCAUUUGUCCAUUUGCUACCUUGAUUUUUUUUGCAAUUUUUGAAUCUAACCUCAU
This is an RNA transcript of Ziziphus jujuba (common jujube), 5022 nucleotides long. It is a transcript of the gene named structural maintenance of chromosomes protein 6A, with no coding region annotated. The record is from RefSeq and is a predicted model, not a curated record. The transcript has 5 exons. NCBI's taxonomy places the organism in Eukaryota, Viridiplantae, Streptophyta, Magnoliopsida, Rosales, Rhamnaceae.